Molecule: ribosomal RNA, 490 nt
Filed under: uncultured bacterium
Lineage: Bacteria
Description: partial 16S ribosomal RNA
Rfam family: Bacterial small subunit ribosomal RNA
Source: RNAcentral
AUUGAACGCUGGCGGCAGGCCUAACACAUGCAAGUCGAACGGUAACAGGGAUCAGCUUGCUGAUUCGCUGACGAGUGGCGGACGGGUGAGUAAUGUCUGGGAAACUGCCUGAUGGAGGGGGAUAACUACUGGAAACGGUAGCUAAUACCGCAUAACGUCGCAAGACCAAAGAGGGGGACCUUCGGGCCUCUUGCCAUCGGAUGUGCCCAGAUGGGAUUAGCUAGUAGGUGGGGUAACGGCUCACCUAGGCGACGAUCCCUAGCUGGUCUGAGAGGAUGACCAGCCACACUGGAACUGAGACACGGUCCAGACUCCUACGGGAGGCAGCAGUGGGGAAUAUUGCACAAUGGGCGCAAGCCUGAUGCAGCCAUGCCGCGUGUAUGAAGAAGGCCUUCGGGUUGUAAAGUACUUUCAGCGGGGAGGAAGGGAGUAAAGUUAAUACCUUUGCUCAUUGACGUUACCCGCAGAAGAAGCACUGGCUAACUCCGUG